UCCCUUGUAGCUCAGUAGGUAAAGAAUCUGCCUGUAGUGCAGAAGACCCAGGUUCAAUCCCUGGGGGAA
Molecule: transfer RNA, 69 nt
Filed under: Bos taurus (domestic cattle)
Lineage: Eukaryota; Metazoa; Chordata; Mammalia; Artiodactyla; Bovidae
Also listed under: 5 other names
Rfam family: tRNA
About the family: Transfer RNA (tRNA) molecules are approximately 80 nucleotides in length. Their secondary structure includes four short double-helical elements and three loops (D, anti-codon, and T loops).
Source: Rfam by way of RNAcentral